CUUUCAGCUUGCUGUACAGACUGUUGCCGCGCUGGCUGGCUAGGUCGCUCUCCAUCAUGUCUGUGUAAAGAAAGCAAGAGUGCCUAAGGAGGUGACCUGGACUGUGAACAUCCACCCUGACCAGCCUGGAAGCCAACAGUUAAUCAUACAGCAGAAUCCAGAGAAAUUCAACAAGGGCCAUUAGGAGUGAAAGCAUGCAAACUAGAAGCUGAGGAGUGCUAUGUUGUGAAAUACUGUCAACUGGACAUGCUAUGGCUAUGGACACUCACGAACUGUGGAUAUCUACAGCUACAUCAAUACAGUGAUAAAAAUUGCAACAUUGAUAGAGGAGAUGGUGUCAAGGCUCCACCCAUUACUGAGGAGGUUUUGGCAGCUGAUAGCUGAUUUGAAAGAACUCCUUGGAGAUGACGGCUCCAUCUAGGACUUGCCUAGGAAAAGAAGCAAUGAGGGCAGAUCACUGUGUAACGCUAGAUAGCCUUCAUCCAGUAGCUGUUCGAAGCAAAAACAGGCACCCACAGGCACGUGGAUGGAACUAGAAGAAACCAUUCUGAGUGAGGUAACCCAGUCGCAAAAAGACAGAAAUGAGCCUUCAUCAGCAGCUGAUGGAAGCAGAAGAAGACACCCACAGCUAAACACUGAGCUGAACUCUGGAAUCCAGUUGCAGAGAGGGAGGAGUGAUGAGCAAAGGGGUCAAGACCAGGCUGGAGAAACCCACAGAAACAGCUGACCUGAACAUGGAGUUGCUCAUGGACCACAGACUGAUAGCUGGGAAACCAGCAUAGGACUGUUCCAGACCUCUUUAAUGAGCAUGUCAGUUUGGAGGUCUGGGUAAUCCAUGGGGCCUCUGGUAGUGGAUCAGUAUUUAUCCCUAGUACACAAAUGGACUUUGGGUGCCCAAUCCACAUAGAGGGAUACUCUCCCAGCCUAGACACAAAGAGAAGGGUCUAGGCUCUGCUCUAAAUGAUAUAAUAGACUUUGUACAUCCCCCAUGGAAGGCUCACCUUCCCUGGGGAGCAGAAAGGGAAAGGGAUAGGGGGUCAGUUAGGGACAUGGGAUUGACAUGUAAAACAAGCUUGUUUCUAAUUUAAAUAAAAAUUCACUUAAAAAAGAAGAACUUCUUCAGAAAUGGUAAAAGAAAAUGUACAAUUAAAGUGAUGGUUGAAGAUAUGGAUUUCCUCCCCACAAAUAACAUAUAAAAGGUAAAACUUGUCACUUUAGAGAAGGGAAAUCUAAAUAACACUAGCCUAGUGUAGUGAUCAAAAAUCAACAUCAACCAAAAGUCCUAUUGAUACCACAUUUUCUCAACGCCUUAGUCUAAACCAGAAGAAAGCAGACAAAUCCCAAAUGAGGGUCCUAUACACAAUCUGUUUAUUGCCUUUAAAGGGUUUUCAAAUUUGUCAAAAGCAAGGGAGUCUAAGGGCCAGCUAUGAAGUGGA
Molecule: long non-coding RNA, 1436 nt
Filed under: Cricetulus griseus (Chinese hamster)
Lineage: Eukaryota; Metazoa; Chordata; Mammalia; Rodentia; Cricetidae
Description: lncRNA (ENSCGRG00015038920.1)
Source: RNAcentral